This 1309-nucleotide long non-coding RNA is filed under the name Oncorhynchus kisutch (coho salmon). RNAcentral describes it as "lncRNA (ENSOKIG00005022407.1)". Lineage: Eukaryota; Metazoa; Chordata; Actinopteri; Salmoniformes; Salmonidae. The record is from RNAcentral.
AUGCUAGUUUCUGGUUGCUUAUCUGAUCAUCUUUAUCUAUCUUGUCUUAGAGAGGAAAAAAGUUGCAAUUUUUUGAGAAUUGACUUUAAUGUGUUAGCUGCUAUACAAGUGUUCAGUAUUGGGGAGCCAGUCAGUCAGCCAGUCAGUCAGUCAGCCAGUCAGCCAGUCAGAACUCUAGUGUUGGCUCGAGGCUUCUCGAGUCUUGUAGAUUUAACAAUGGCAUAACCAAGAUCUAGCUUCGUGAUAACUGUACUGUAUACAUUACAGUACAAUUCUGAUAACAGCACCACCAAGGAGGCUGAUUGGCUGAUUACAAUACCACCAAGGAGGCUGAUUGGCUGAUUACAAUACCACCAAGGAGGCUGAUUGGCUGAUUACAAUACCACCAAGGAGGCUGAUUGGCUGAUUACAAUACCACCAAGGAGGCUGAUUGGCUGAUUACAAUACCACCAAGGAGGCUGAUUGGCUGAUUACAGUACCACCAAGGAGGCUGAUUGGCUGAUUACAGUACCACCAAGGAGGCUGAUUGGCUGAUUACAAUACCACCAAGGAGGCUGAUUGGCUGAUUACAAUACCACCAAGGAGGCUGAUUGGCUGAUUACAGUACCACCAAGGAGGCUGAUUGGCUGAUUACAGUACCACCAAGGAGGCUGAUUGGCUGAUUACAAUACCACCAAGGAGGCUGAUUGGCUGAUUACAAUACCACCAAGGAGGCUGAUUGGCUGAUUACAGUACCACCAAGGAGGCUGAUUGGCUGAUUACAGUACCACCAAGGAGGCUGAUUGGCUGAUUACAAUACCACCAAGGAGGCUGAUUGGCUGAUUACAGUACCACCAAGGAGGCUGAUUGGCUGAUUACAGUACCACCAAGGAGGCUGAUUGGCUGAUUACAGUACCACCAAGGAGGCUGAUUGGCUGAUUACAGUACCACCAAGGAGGCUGAUUGGCUGAUUACAGUACCACCAAGGAGGCUGAUUGGCUGAUUACAGUACCACCAAGGAGGCUGAUUGGCUGAUUACAAUACCACCAAGGAGGCUGAUUGGCUGAUUACAGUACCACCAAGGAGGCUGAUUGGCUGAUUACAGUACCACCAAGGAGGCUGAUUGGCUAUCUGUGCUGAGCUCACACCUUGUAAAUCUGCCCACCUGACCUGACUCUACAUAAUGGGAAGUUUAGAUUUCUUCUGCUUUCUUUUUGGUUUCAAUUUUAAUAAAAAAAAAAAAGGUAAAUAAUAAUAAAUCUGUCCUGCUAUUUGAUGUUGUGUGUGUGUGUGUGUAUUACAUCACACCACUAGAGGGCAGUAUACAGCC